CCCGCGUCUGAUUAGCUAGUUGGUAAGGUAACGGCUUACCAAGGCGACGAUCAGUAGCCGGCCUGAGAGGGUGAUCGGCCACAUUGGAACUGAGACACGGUCCAAACUCCUACGGGAGGCAGCAGUGGGGAAUAUUGCACAAUGGGCGAAAGCCUGAUGCAGCAACGCCGCGUGAGUGAUGAAGGCCUUCGGGUCGUAAAAC
Molecule: ribosomal RNA, 202 nt
Filed under: Clostridioides difficile
Lineage: Bacteria; Bacillati; Bacillota; Clostridia; Peptostreptococcales; Peptostreptococcaceae
Description: partial 16S ribosomal RNA
Rfam family: Bacterial small subunit ribosomal RNA
Source: RNAcentral